GAUGAACGCUGGCGGCGUGCCUAAUACAUGCAAGUCGAGCGAACGGACGAGAAGCUUGCUUCUCUGAUGUUAGCGGCGGACGGGUGAGUAACACGUGGAUAACCUACCUAUAAGACUGGGAUAACUUCGGGAAACCGGAGCUAAUACCGGAUAAUAUUUUGAACCGCAUGGUUCAAAAGUAAAAGACGGUCUUGCUGUCACUUAUAGAUGGAUCCGCGCUGCAUUAGCUAGUUGGUAAGGUAACGGCUUACCAAGGCAACGAUGCAUAGCCGACCUGAGAGGGUGAUCGGCCACACUGGAACUGAGACACGGUCCGGACUCCUACGGGAGGCAGCAGUAGGGAAUCUUCCGCAAUGGGCGAAAGCCUGACGGAGCAACGCCGCGUGAGUGAUGAAGGUCUUCUGAUCGUAAAACUCUGUUAUUAGGGAAGAACAUAUGUGUAAGUAACUGUGCACAUCUUGACGGUACCUAAUCAGAAAGCCACGGCUAACUACG
Molecule: ribosomal RNA, 495 nt
Filed under: uncultured bacterium
Lineage: Bacteria
Description: partial 16S ribosomal RNA
Rfam family: Bacterial small subunit ribosomal RNA
Source: RNAcentral